AUACGGAGGGUGCAAGCGUUACUCGGAAUCACUGGGCGUAAAGCGCGCGCAGGCGGUCUUUUAAGUUGGAUGUGAAAGCCUACGGCUCAACCGUAGAACUGCAUCCAAAACUAUUAGACUAGAGUGUGGGAGAGGAAGAUGGAAUUAGUUGUGUAGGGGUAAAAUCCGUAGAGAUAACUAGGAAUACCAAAAGCGAAGGCAAUCUUCUGGAACACUACUGACGCUGAGGCGCGAAAGCGUGGGGAGCACACAGGAUUAGAAACCCUAGUAGUCC
Molecule: ribosomal RNA, 274 nt
Filed under: uncultured bacterium
Lineage: Bacteria
Description: partial 16S ribosomal RNA
Rfam family: Bacterial small subunit ribosomal RNA
Source: RNAcentral